ACAGAUUUUUCUGGAACAAAGUAAUAUAAACGUGUUCGGGACGCACGUCUUUGGUAACAUUAAUUACCUCUAAGUAAUUGACUAAUUUUAGUGAUUAUUUUAAUAAACAAUAUUAGCCAAGAGUGCAACUUGUGCUUUCGCGAUUACAGAAUUUUAUUUGCUGAAUUGUCUUCAGAGGCAAGGCAAGAAUUUCAUCAAACGUCCGGAAAGGCGGCGGUCUUCAGGAGGAGCACAUGAUCUUCCCUUCCGAAGGGUGAAUUACACACAGUUUUACUGUCUUGAAGACGGGGUCGCAUAUACCCCUCACUCUGGAUGAGCGAUCGAAGUUCUGAGCCUCUCUUCCAAGACGGGAGGUUCGUCACAAAUUACCCGGAACGAUGCCUUGCCAUUCCCACUCGGCUAAUGGCUCUCCUGAACUCCAGCUGCUGCGGUUGCUGGCCAGCCACGCCUCCCCCAUAACAUCAUUGAGGGCUGUAGCGCGGAACCGGCGCUUUCCACGGCGUCCAGUAUAAUUGUAUUUGAGGAUCAAAUUGUCCUCCAUGAUGGACGUCAGUGGUACCCUCUGCUAACGGGAGAAAAGAGACCGAAGAAACCCCAGAUACUCUUGACGAGUACCCAAGGUUCUGAGCCUCUCCUCUAAGUGGUGCAUGUCCGGCAUUGGAGUUGCCGCAUCUCCCUCACAUACUCUUCUUCGGAGCUGCUGCGGUUGCCGGUCAGCCACGCUUCCCUUAUGACAUCAUUGAGCUCUGUGGCGCGGAAUCGGCGCUUUCCACGACGUCCAUCAUAGUUGUAUUGGAGGAUCAAACUGUUCUCCAUGAUGGACCUCAAUGGGACUCCCCGCUGUCGGGAAAAAAGAGGCCGAAGAAAUCCCAGAUACUCUUGGCGUGUACCCGAGAUUCUGAACCUCUCUUCCUAGCGGUCCACGUCCAGCAUUGGAGUUGGUAGGUAGGUGGAAACUGCAGCAGCACCGAAGCGGUGUAUGUGAGGGAGAUCGGCUGGAGUUUAGAAGAGACGUUUGUUGUGAGGCAAUGGGGGGUUCGUUCCGAAUUACCGGGAACGAUACCUAGCCAUUGCCUCACAACAAACGUAUCUUCUAAACUCCAGCCGCAUCUCCCUCACAUACUCUGCUUAGGUGCUGCUGCGGUUUCCUGCCAGCCACACCUUCUCAAACUGGAGGGUUAGUCACAUCGUCCUCCAUGAUCCAUCUCAAUUGGAUUCUCUGCUGACGAGUUUUCAUCAGGCGCUCAUUACCUUGGUGAUCCAUUUUCUUGGACUUCCUGGCACUUGUGAAUCUCACGUUUUACUUGCAAAGCUUUAAAACUUGAAUUACCAGCUAAUUACCUAAAAUUGAAAAAUUUAAAAAGACAUGAAUGCUUUUUCGUCAGAAAAGAGCUUAAAUUAGUUAUCUUCUAGAAAUUUUCCCAGGAAUGUGCCGCAAAAAAUAUUUAAGUCUUGUUUUUCUUUAAUUAAAAACGAAAGAAUCACACAGAUGAUACCCCAAAAAUCCCAAUUAAAACACAUUUUUUUUACAUAAUUUUAAAAAUGUAUUUAUUAAACUUGGAGACUUUAUUAAAUUGAAAAAUG
Lutzomyia longipalpis is the source of this 1584-nucleotide long non-coding RNA. RefSeq lists it as uncharacterized. NCBI's taxonomy places the organism in Eukaryota, Metazoa, Arthropoda, Insecta, Diptera, Psychodidae. The transcript has 3 exons. The record is from RefSeq and is a predicted model, not a curated record.